UACGUAGGGUGCGAGCGUUGUCCGGAAUUAUUGGGCGUAAAGAGCUCGUAGGCGGUGUGUCACGUCGGCCGUGAAAACCUGCAGCUUAACUGUGGGCGUGCGGUCGAUACGGGCAUCACUGGAGUUCGGCAGGGGAGACUGGAAUUCCUGGUGUAGCGGUGAAAUGCGCAGAUAUCAGGAGGAACACCGGUGGCGAAGGCGACGCCUGGACCGGCAUUGACGCUGAGGCGCGAAAGCCAGGGGAGCAAACGGG
This 253-nucleotide ribosomal RNA is filed under the name uncultured bacterium. Its description in RNAcentral is "partial 16S ribosomal RNA". It matches the Rfam family "Bacterial small subunit ribosomal RNA", at positions 524 to 776 of the family's 1533-position model. The record is from RNAcentral.